CAGCCAUGCCGCGUGCAGGAUGACAGCCCUAUGGGUUGUAAACUGCUUUUAUACAGGAAGAACUUUUCGCACGUGUGCGGAAUUGACGGUACUGUACGAAUAAGCACCGGCUAACUCCGUGCCAGCAGCCGCGGUAAUACGGAGGGUGCAAGCGUUAUCCGGAUUUAUUGGGUUUAAAGGGUGCGUAGGCGGAGUAAUAAGUCAGUGGUGAAAACCUGCAGCUCAACUGUAGAACUGCCAUUGAUACUGUUAUUCUUGAGUUCGAUUGAGGUANGCGGAAUGUGUAAUGUAGCGGUGAAAUGCUUAGAUAUUACACAGAACACCGAUUGCGUAGGCAGCUUACUAAGUCGAUACUGACGCUGAGGCACGAAAGCGUGGGGAGCGAACAGGAUUANAUACCCUGGUAGUCCACGCCGUAAACUAUGAUCACUAGCUGUUGGCGAUACAUCGUUCANCGGCAAAGCCGAAAGCAUUAAGUGAUCCACCUGGGGCAGUACNCUCGCANNAGUGAANCUCUAAGGAAUUGACGGGGGCCCCCACAAAGCGGGUGGAACAUGUGNNUUUAUUCCAUGAUACGCCAGGGAACCUUNCCUGGGGCUUUAAUGUAAAA
This 610-nucleotide ribosomal RNA is filed under the name uncultured bacterium. RNAcentral describes it as "bacterial SSU rRNA". It matches the Rfam family "Bacterial small subunit ribosomal RNA", at positions 389 to 993 of the family's 1533-position model. The record is from RNAcentral.